RNAcentral lists this ribosomal RNA (464 nucleotides) under uncultured bacterium. RNAcentral's name for it is "partial 16S ribosomal RNA". It matches the Rfam family "Bacterial small subunit ribosomal RNA", at positions 339 to 795 of the family's 1533-position model. The record is from RNAcentral.
CUACGGGCUGCUCCAGCUAAGAAUCUUCCGCAAUGGGCGAAAGCCUGACGGAGCGACGCCGCGUGGGUGAAGAAGGCCGAGAGGUUGUAAAGCCCUUUUCUGUCUGAGGAAUAAGCCUGGGAGGGAAUGCCCGGGUGAUGACGGUAAGACAGGAAUAAGCCCCGGCUAAUUACGCGCCAGCAGCCGCGGUAACACGUAUGGGGCGAGCGUUGUUCGGAAUCAUUGGGCGUAAAGGGCGCGUAGGCGAAGAUGCAAGUCUGGUGUGAAAUACCGCAGCUUAACUGCGGGACCGCGCUGGAAACUGCAUAUCUUGAGUUCCGGAGGGGGAGUUGGAAUUCCUGGUGUAGGGGUGAAAUCUGUUGAUAUCAGGAAGAACACCGGUGGCGAAGGCGAACUCCUGGACGGAAACUGACGCUGAGGCGCGAAAGCGUGGGGAGCGAACAGGAUUAGAUACCCUAGUAGUC